Long non-coding RNA from Microtus ochrogaster (prairie vole), 3460 nucleotides. RefSeq lists it as uncharacterized. NCBI's taxonomy places the organism in Eukaryota, Metazoa, Chordata, Mammalia, Rodentia, Cricetidae. The transcript has 5 exons. The record is from RefSeq and is a predicted model, not a curated record.
AGAGAAAUAUUUCUAUGGAUCUAUUCUUAUUGAUUCUUGAGAAGUUUCACAUGUGAAGUCUUGGGACUCCUCUGUCUUCAACUAAAAGGGGAAAGCCUGAGGCCUGUUUGCUGAGCUGGAGUGGGGUUGGUGGAAAGUCUGUAACUGCCGACCUCAAAGGCUCUGGGCUAACAAAGACAGCACAGCUCCUCAGAACUCAGACUGCUCUUCUUCCAUUGUACCCUCAGGACACUUAACGGGUUCUGCUGAGAGUUUCAUAGCCAGAACACCAGCUGUGCUCUGACCAUUUGCUCUGAUAGUGGAGAUGACCAGAAAAAUGGGGCUUGAAUCUUGAGAUUUUUGAAGAGGCUCUGAAGAUCUUUCCUGGCCAGAGUGUCCUGCGAGUUCCCAGGGAAUGCCUGCUGGAGUUGGGACCAGGGCAGUGAUGAGUGUGGGGAAUAAAGGCUGUCCUAUGAAAGACACGGCUAUGCCAGGCUCCUGACCUGAUACCAGCACAAGGGCCUGCCUUGUCCUGUGAGAUUCCUUUUCCAGGAGACAUCCUGUUCAAGUGCCUGCUGACCUGGAAUCAGUGGAAUCGCCUGUGUGCUUGCCUGGCUUCUGCAGCCUAGUCUAGGAUUUUUAAGUUGGUCAGCUGACACAGUUUCUUGGAAAAAUUUUGCUUGUUUGUCUUUUAAUAUAUACGUGUAAAUAAUAUGGCCACAGCAUGCUUGUUUUAUGUCUGUGUGUGUAUGUGUGCUUGUUUUAAGAUUUGUAAAACUUAUAACUCCAGAUUACAACAGCUCUACAAGCAUGUAGACAGCCAUUAUUUUUGGUUGCGGCCAAAACAGAAACCUCAGUGCCAUCUUUGGUAAGAGUACCCAUGUGUGCUAGACCUACCAAGGAGAUAUUCUGCCUCCAAUAUGCUUUGGCUUACUAAAAUAUUCCUUCUAAUUUUGCCUCUACUGAUAUUGGUAAGCUGUAACUGAUUGGGUAAACUAUAUGCCUAAAUUUAACUUACAUAUCUAGUUUAGAUAUACCUGACAGGUAAUGGUACCCUAUAGAUAUACCUGACAGGUAAUGAUACCCUAAUUUUAAAGUGCCUUUACAGAUCUGAUAGUAUGGCCAGUUCCUGCAGCAUCCUAUAGCUCCUUCAAGAAGAUACAUGGUUGCAGAAGACCUUCUGCCUGGAGGCUUGCCUUUGUGUACGGCAAAGCUACCCACACGCAAAAAACUACCUUCCACCUCAUCAGCUUCCUGGACACUACAUUGGGGGAUCGAUCAUCUUAUCCUGCCAAGACAGGUAGACUGAGCCCUAUCCAUACAGAAAAAUCUGUCAGGUCUCCUGGGCUCAGCAUCUAAAGACAAGUACUGCUUCUAAGACUGGUAUUUGCCAAAGACCAUGGAGAGACUUGGGACUUCCUGUGUAGCUAAAAAAGCUGUCUCACUUCUGCUCAUUUACUUCUCCCUCCCAAAUCUGUUUGAUGGCACUUGAUGACUUAAGGUACUGGUAGCUCAUUACUUCAUUUGUAAAGUUUCAUGCCAAAAAUACAGACAGGUGUACCUCUUAUACAGGCUUCAUAGUCCAAAAUUAACAGGUUUCAGAUGUAUCUUCAGAGGAUCAGAGUUUCCAAUUUCCCUUAGUUGUCUUCUGAAAUGGUUGUACUUUUUAACCAAAAGCCAUAGCCUUUUGCUAUGAUACCAAGAUGUAAAUAUGUUCCAGUUGUCUUACAGAUACCUGCAGGUUCCUGGGAAAAGUUCUGAUGCUGUCAAGAAAUCUGGUCUGGUAAAACCAAUCUCCAGAGCCCAUUUUGACCCCACCUAUUUUCAAGCAAAUCUUAUAGGUCACUCCUGUCUGGGUCAAGACUGACCUGCAGAGGGCUCUCCAGAUAAUACCUGCACCUUCACCAGCUCAUGGGUCUUCACCAUUAAUACCACCUCUCCAGGCUCAAAUGGGACCUACACAGCAACUGAAAUCUGGCUUUAAAGGACAUAUCUGCUCUCAUCUCAUUCCGUCACCCUUGCCUCUGUGGUACAACCAGGACACUUCUCUGUCCCAUUCUUUCUGACAGUUAAUCACCCUUCCCAUGGCUAGCCCCAUCCAUAAGGCCAUUAAUAACAACCUAUUUUCCCCCUAGCAACCUGUCUUCUCAUUUCCCCCAAGGAACAGAUGCCUGAGGUCUCCAGGAUGACAGUUAACUGGAUGCCUCUUCAGCCACACCUCCUGCUAAGUGUGAGCCCACCAACUCCAAACUCUCCCCUCUCUUACAUUGCCCCAUACUUGCAGGAAGUAGCCAGACUUGAGCCUGUGACCCUAUACCAAAAGAGUCUGGAAUGUUUGGUUGAAAGUAUCACCCCAGUCCCUGGCACCCAUAUACCCAAACAGUCUGGAAUCUUUGGGUUAAGGCUAUCCCACAGCCCAUGGCAUCCAUAUAUCCAAACAGUCUGGAAUGUUUGGGUAGAAGUUCCAUCCCAAUUCCCCUCCCUUGAGAGUUGUUGCAGUCCAGAUUCCACCUCUGAGAAAGACUGCCAAAUAAUGACCCUUCCUCAGAGAUGCUCAAGACCACUCCCACAGGGUAUUUUAAACAGCAACCCAGAGAGCAAACGUGGUUUUUCAGUCUUCCUUCCUCCUCUUCAUUCUGGGGGUUGGAAAGCCAUCCAGUAGCAUUGGUAUCCAUUACACUUGGGCUUUUUCUAAAUCGGUUUGAUUUGGUCUGAUUCAGAUUAUUGUGUCAGCGGAGAGGCUUAUUAGGGUGCAAAAACUUUUCAUUGAUGAUGUCAUGUGGUUAUUAAUAAUCACUUAUAUACAGAUCUGUAAUGAAAAGAAGCACACUGGACAAAGAGAAAUACAAAAUGUACAGUUAGAAGAGAAAAGGAGUACCAUGAAAUGUGACUGAGCUAAGUCAAGUGUUCAAGUAGAUAAAGAGUUUAAAGAAAAGCCUGAUUCUAGAUGGGAUAAAGGUAGUGGUGAGGCAGGGCAAGACCCCACCUAGUUAAGCUUCCAACUUAUGAAAAAGAAUUAAAAGAAAGCUUAAACAGUGAGGGAAGCCAUCAACAACACAAAGGUGAUGUAAAUAUGAUUGAAGGAGGGAGCCAAAUUCCAGCCCCAGCAAGCAGCAGAACUAGGCAGCUUUGGUAAUGUGGUUCUGUCUUUAGAGUCAAGGAUACAAGGCAGGGGCUGUGGAACCUUCCUUCAUGACUAAGGAAAGCCACUGAGGGAAGACCUGUGUCAUGGAGGCCUACAGAGGUCAUUGUGUGUAGCUGUGAAGAUGAAGCUAAAUUGUAUUUGUUACCAGUGCCAAAGGUCUCUUCAGAUCUACAGCUCCUCUCAGCCUAUUUGACUGCAAUACACUUCUCUCUCUUGGGCUGGUUCCAUCCCCUAUUAGCAGCUCUUCUUGACAGUUAGCCUGCUGUUCUGGCCUCCCCAACAUCUUAGAGUCAGGGUACCCUGCCCUGUUGGAAGUCCAAGGCCCUCCCCCCUCCA